CGAGCGGUAACAUUUCAAAAGCUUGCUUUUGAAGAUGACGAGCGGCGGACGGGUGAGUAAUGCCUGGGAAUUUGCCCAUUUGUGGGGGAUAACAGUUGGAAACGACUGCUAAUACCGCAUACGCCCUACGGGGGAAAGCAGGGGACCUUCGGGCCUUGCGCUGAUGGAUAAGCCCAGGUGGGAUUAGCUAGUAGGUGAGGUAAAGGCUCACCUAGGCGACGAUCCCUAGCUGGUCUGAGAGGAUGAUCAGCCACACUGGGACUGAGACACGGCCCAGACUCCUACGGGAGGCAGCAGUGGGGAAUAUUGCACAAUGGGGGAAACCCUGAUGCAGCCAUGCCGCGUGUGUGAAGAAGGCCUUCGGGUUGUAAAGCACUUUCAGCGAGGAGGAAAGGGUGUAAGUUAAUACCU
Molecule: ribosomal RNA, 411 nt
Filed under: Shewanella algae
Lineage: Bacteria; Pseudomonadati; Pseudomonadota; Gammaproteobacteria; Alteromonadales; Shewanellaceae
Description: bacterial SSU rRNA
Rfam family: Bacterial small subunit ribosomal RNA
Source: RNAcentral